Molecule: ribosomal RNA, 253 nt
Filed under: uncultured bacterium
Lineage: Bacteria
Description: partial 16S ribosomal RNA
Rfam family: Bacterial small subunit ribosomal RNA
Source: RNAcentral
CACGUAGGGCGCAAGCGUUGUCCGGAAUUAUUGGGCGUAAAGCGCGUGUAGGCGGUGAUGUAUGUCGGGUGUGAAAGCCCUCAGCUUAACUGAGGAAGUGCGCCCGAAACUACAUCGCUAGAGUGCCGGAGGGGGUGGCGGAAUUCCCGGUGUAGAGGUGAAAUGCGUAGAUAUCGGGAGGAACACCAGUGGCGAAGGCGACUACCUGGCCCAUUCUUGACGCUGAGGCGCGAAAGCUAGGGGAGCGAACGGG